This 141-nucleotide transfer-messenger RNA is filed under the name Dysosmobacter sp. RNAcentral describes it as "partial transfer-messenger RNA". It matches the Rfam family "transfer-messenger RNA", at positions 236 to 374 of the family's 374-position model. Rfam says of the family: Bacterial tmRNA, also known as 10Sa RNA or SsrA, is named for its dual tRNA and mRNA-like properties. Its role is to liberate the mRNA from a stalled ribosome. To accomplish this part of the tmRNA is used as a reading frame that ends in a translation stop signal. Lineage: Bacteria; Bacillati; Bacillota; Clostridia; Eubacteriales; Oscillospiraceae. The record is from RNAcentral.
CUCUCACCUGACCGGACGGCGUGACGGCUUGCCAUCCGGAAGGGGAACAGGGAGAAAGACUCCCGCAAUAACCGUCUGCGCCCGGAGAAAGUCCCGUUAAAGUGCUUUCGGACAGGGGUUCAACUCCCCUCACCUCCACCA